CGCCCGCCGCGCGCGGCGGGCCUACGGGAGGCAGCAGUGGGGAAUAUUGCACAAUGGGCGCAAGCCUGAUGCAGCCAUGCCGCGUGUAUGAAGAAGGCCUUCGGGUUGUAAAGUACUUUCAGCGGGGAGGAAGGUGUUGAGGUUAAUAACCUCAGCAAUUGACGUUACCCGCAGAAGAAGCACCGGCUAACUCCGUGCCAGCAGCCUCGGUAAUA
RNAcentral lists this ribosomal RNA (215 nucleotides) under uncultured Pantoea sp. Its description in RNAcentral is "partial 16S ribosomal RNA". It matches the Rfam family "Bacterial small subunit ribosomal RNA", at positions 309 to 525 of the family's 1533-position model. Lineage: Bacteria; Pseudomonadati; Pseudomonadota; Gammaproteobacteria; Enterobacterales; Erwiniaceae. The record is from RNAcentral.